Molecule: long non-coding RNA, 848 nt
Filed under: Mytilus galloprovincialis (Mediterranean mussel)
Lineage: Eukaryota; Metazoa; Mollusca; Bivalvia; Mytilida; Mytilidae
Source: RNAcentral
GGCAGCGGCGGAAAUAUGAUAAAACAAAUUUUGUGGCUCUUAUUUAUAGCUUGCUGUUCGGUUUGAGUAAAAGCUCCGUGUUGAAGGCCGUAAUUCAACCUAUAAUUGUUUACUUUUUACACAUUAUGACUUAGAUGUAGAGUUGUCUCAUUGGCACUCAUAUCAUAUCUUCCUAUUUCUAUUCAUUUCAAAAGACACCAAUGAACUCAAAGUCAAUUUUAAAAAUAUUUUAUAACGAUAGCUACAAAAUUAUCCUCUCUUGCAUAUAUAAUUAUACCGGUAUGGAUGAUUGGUUGAUUGAAAUUUGCUGUUGAUUGAUUGCUUUUUAACGCCACUUUCAACACUAUCAUGCUAAUUCGUGGCAGUGAGUUUAUAUUGAUGGAGGAAGCCGAAGUCCCCGGAAAGAAACACCGACUUUCGGUAGGAAAAACUAAUAAUUCUAUUCAAUUGAGAUUGGAGUCGAGCUUACCUGCCACGUGUGGGAUUCGAACUCACAACCUACAUGUAAGUGUUGACAGACUAGAUACUUGGACCCUUCGCCACCGCCCCCCCCCCCCCCAAAAAAAAGGAAUUAAAGGAGAUAUGGGAUGACCUUCAACUCGGUGCAUGACAUUUGCUUGCAUCUUUUUAUUAUGUUUUCAUGCAUUUAUUGCACACUUACAUGAUUAUGAAUGUAUGCUUGACGUCCAGCGGAAAAUUGAUAUAUAAAAGACUAUGUGGUAUGAUUGCCAAUGAGACAACUCUCCACAAGACACACAAAUGACACAGAAAUUAACAACUAUAGGUCACCGUACGGCCUUCAACAAUGAGCAAAGCCCAUACUGCAUAAUCAGCUAUAAAAGGCCCCG